UACGUAGGGUGCGAGCGUUGUCCGGAAUUACUGGGCGUAAAGGGCGCGUAGGCGGCCUACUAAGUCAGACGUGAAAUCCCUGGGCUCAACCCAGGAACUGCGUCCGAUACUGGCAGGCUUGAAUCCGGGAGAGGGAUGCGGAAUUCCAGGUGUAGCGGUGAAAUGCGUAGAUAUCUGGAGGAAUACCGGUGGCGAAGGCGGCAUCCUGGACCGGCAUUGACGCUGAGGAGCGAAAGCCAGGGGAGCAAACGGG
Molecule: ribosomal RNA, 253 nt
Filed under: uncultured bacterium
Lineage: Bacteria
Description: partial 16S ribosomal RNA
Rfam family: Bacterial small subunit ribosomal RNA
Source: RNAcentral